This is a long non-coding RNA of Musa acuminata AAA Group (dessert banana), 2030 nucleotides long. RefSeq lists it as uncharacterized. The transcript has 3 exons. Lineage: Eukaryota; Viridiplantae; Streptophyta; Magnoliopsida; Zingiberales; Musaceae. The record is from RefSeq and is a predicted model, not a curated record.
GCUCGGGUUUUGGAUUGGCCACCGGGGAGCUCCACAUUUGCCGUCUCUCCGCCGCGGAUUGCUCGUCUCAUCUUGCUCCUCGAUCGAUCAUGGCUGAACAGACAGAAAAGGCAUUCUUGAAGCAGCCGAAGGUAUUUCUGUGCUAAAAGAAACCUGGAAAGGGGAAGAGACCUGGAAAAGGUGGCAAUAGAUUCUGGAAGAGUAUUGGUCUUGGCUUCAAGACUCCCAGAGAGGCCAUCGAAGGUCUGGCCUCGUAACUGUUUCUUGGAUGUUAGAUUUGAGUCUUGCAGUUUGUUCAUUCUUCUUUUUCCUUCCUGGAUUCAUUUUAGUUGGCCAUCCUUACAUGGUCUUGAAUGUACCCUUGGUUAUCUGUUGUUUUUUUUUUCUUUUUAUUUGAAGCGAAUUCAUGAUUUUGUUCCAUUACAUGCUAGAAUAUUCAUGCUUGCAAAGUAAAUUAGCCAAUUUUUAGCUAUUUGAUUGCCUAGGAAGUGAAAUGAAGUAAUGGAAAAUGCUUACAGUUAUUGCAGCUAAAUUUAUAAGCAAUGAAGUCAUUGUCAUUAUUGGCGGAUCUCGUGACUGAUAUUUGGUUGUCAUUUUAAACUGAUUUUUCAUUUUUACUUGAAUGUCUUUAGGACAGGGGUUUCAAUAGGCGCUCGUGCACUCGGGUGAGGCGAGGUGAGGCUUGAGUGCCUUAAGCCUUCAUUGAAGCACACCGCCUGGGCGCUCGCCUGAACGCAGGUGUCGGGCGCCUUGGGUGAGCGUUCGAGUGAAACGAAGCGUUUAAUUGAACAGUAGCUUAGGUGGUUUAAUUGAACCAACUAAACUAUAUAAUGUUAUUAAAUCUACGCACGCAAACCCCGCCCCUCGUGCAACCCGAAGCCAUAAACCCUACUUCAUGCCCAACUGCUACCUUCAUCGUUGUCGCUUCCUCUAUCAUUGCCUCCGUCAUUGAUGCACAAUAUUGACUCUUUCUCUACAAUCAACGGAUGGGUUCAAAGGUCUAGCUUUCGUAUGUAGUUUCCUCUGUCGUCGAUGCUUCCAUGUGCAGGUCUUUCCAUCAUCGAAAGAGCGGACUGUAGCUUCCUUUGCCAUUAACGGAUACAUCUGAAGCUUCCUCCGCCAUGAUGUCACCAUCCACAGCUUUCGUUGUCGCCAUUGUUACCAUCCGAAGCUUUCUUCGUUCUUGUUGUUGUCGUCUGUAGCUUCCUCUGACGCCGUUGUUAUCGUUUGAAGCUUCCUCUAUUGUCAUUUGUCGCUUCCUCUAUCGCUGUCGUCAUCGUCCGAAAGUUCAUCACCGUUGCCCUCUCCCUCCCCACUUUCUAUCGUCAGUAUAUAUAUCUUUUCUCCCCUCUAACUAUUGUUAAUAGUAGAUUGUUAACUACUAUUAUCAUAUAAUAGUUCCUAUUUAGAUUUUAGCAUUGUUAAUUUUUAUUUAUUAAUUAUAUUUUAUAUUUUUUAAUAUUUCAGAGUGUCUUGUUUUGCUCAGGCUGGCACCACCUAGUAGCCGCCUUGGGCAUUUUUAAACCUUGGCACUUUUUGGCUCGUAGCGUUUUUUAAAUCAUUGUUUUGGGAUAGGAAGAAUGUUUCAUGAAACCUGAGAAUAAUUUUAUUACAACUAAUUCUUGUCUAUUAUUCUGUGCUUAAGGAGAUGAAACCAAACGUGUACCAUGGUUGUAUGUCAAAAUUAAUGGAGAAAUUACACUUAACAAGGAGUCAUGAAAUAGUUGGAUCACAUUUAGUUAGUAGCUUAACUAUCAUAUCUUACUGUGUCCUCUUUUGAUGAUUGAAUGGUUCCAGGAUCACAUACAAGUGGCUAUGGCUGUUCUGUUCCAUGUAUCAUUUACUUUUGACAUAACAUUUGACAGCGUGGACAAGUUUUUGCAGUUCUAAUCAGAAGAUUGAUGCCCGUGUCCACAGAGGGUAGAUUGUACAGUCAUAUUACUUUCGGCUUCUGCAGAACAAUAGUAAUGUUUCAGGCCAGAGUCUUGUUGUGACAUCUUAAAUAUAGGAAUUGGUAGUCAUUUUUCUCA